RNAcentral lists this ribosomal RNA (484 nucleotides) under uncultured bacterium. Its description in RNAcentral is "partial 16S ribosomal RNA". It matches the Rfam family "Bacterial small subunit ribosomal RNA", at positions 30 to 507 of the family's 1533-position model. The record is from RNAcentral.
AUUGAACGCUGGCGGGAGGCCUAACACAUGCAAGUCGAGCGGAUGAAGGGAGCUUGCUCCUGGAUUCAGCGGCGGACGGGUGAGUAAUGCCUAGGAAUCUGCCUGGUAGUGGGGGAUAACGUCCGGAAACGGGCGCUAAUACCGCAUACGUCCUGAGGGAGAAAGUGGGGGAUCUUCGGACCUCACGCUAUCAGAUGAGCCUAGGUCGGAUCAGCUAGUUGGUGGGGUAAAGGCCUACCAAGGCGACGAUCCGUAACUGGUCUGAGAGGAUGAUCAGUCACACUGGAACUGAGACACGGUCCAGACUCCUACGGGAGGCAGCAGUGGGGAAUAUUGGACAAUGGGCGAAAGCCUGAUCCAGCCAUGCCGCGUGUGUGAAGAAGGUCUUCGGAUUGUAAAGCACUUUAAGUUGGGAGGAAGGGCAGUAAGUUAAUACCUUGCUGUUUUGACGUUACCAACAGAAUAAGCACCGGCUAACUUCGUG